RNAcentral lists this ribosomal RNA (466 nucleotides) under uncultured bacterium. RNAcentral's name for it is "partial 16S ribosomal RNA". The record is from RNAcentral.
GACUACCAGGGUAUCUAAGCCCGUUCGCUCCCCUGGCUUUCGCGCCUCAGCGUCAGUUACAGCCCAGCAAGCCGCCUUCGCCACUGGUGUUCCUCCCGAUAUCUAUGCAUUUCACCGCUACACCGGGAAUUCCGCUUGCCUCUGCUGCACUCCAGUCCCUCAGUAUCAGGCGCAGCCCCACGGGUGAGCCGUGGUCUUUAACACCUGACUUAAGAAACCGCCUACGCGCCCUUUACGCCCAAUAAAUCCGAUUAACGCUUGCCUCCCCCGUAUUACCGCGGCUGCUGGCACGGAAUUAGCCGAGGCUUCUUCUCCAGGUACCGUCAAACGAUCGGGGUAUUAUCCCAAACGCCCUUCUUCCCUGUCGAAAGCAGUUUACAACCCGAAGGCCUUCAUCCUGCACGCGGCGUCGCUCGGUCAGGGUUUCCCCCAUUGCCGAAGCUUCUCGACUGCAGCCCCCCGUAGG